Molecule: ribosomal RNA, 253 nt
Filed under: uncultured bacterium
Lineage: Bacteria
Description: partial 16S ribosomal RNA
Rfam family: Bacterial small subunit ribosomal RNA
Source: RNAcentral
UACGUAGGGUGCGAGCGUUAAUCGGAAUUACUGGGCGUAAAGCGUACGCAGGCGGUUUUGUAAGCCAGAUGUGAAAUCCCCGGGCUUAACCUGGGAAUGGCAUUUGGGACUGCAAGGCUUGAGUGUGGCAGAGGAGACUGGAAUUCCUGGUGUAGCAGUGAAAUGCGUAGAUAUCAGGAGGAACACCGAUGGCGAAGGCAGGUCUCUGGGCUGACACUGACGCUCAUGCACGAAAGCGUGGGGAGCAAACAGG